Molecule: ribosomal RNA, 468 nt
Filed under: uncultured bacterium
Lineage: Bacteria
Description: partial 16S ribosomal RNA
Rfam family: Bacterial small subunit ribosomal RNA
Source: RNAcentral
GACGAACGCUGGCGGCGUGCCUAACACAUGCAAGUCGAACGGAAAGGCCCUGCUUUUGUGGGGUGCUCGAGUGGCGAACGGGGGAGUAACACGUGAGUAACCUGCCCUUGACUUUGGGAUAACUUCAGGAAACUGGGGCUAAUACCGGAUAGGAGCUCCUGCUGCAUGGUGGGGGUUGGAAAGUUUCGGCGGUGGGGGAUGGACUGGCGGCUUAUCAGCUUGUUUGGGGGGUAGUUGCUUACCAAGGCUUUGACGGGUAGCCGGCCUGAGAGGGUUACCGGCCACAUUGGUACUAAGAUACGGCCCAGAAUGCUACGGGAGGCAGCAGUCGGAAGUAUUGCACAAUGGGCGGAAGCCUGAUGCAGCAACGCCGCGUGCGGGAUGCCGGCCUUCGGGUUGUAAACCGAUUUCGCCUGUGCCGAAGCGUGCGUGACGGUAAUGGGUCAAGAAGCAACGGCUAACUACGUG